Molecule: long non-coding RNA, 793 nt
Organism: Apus apus (common swift)
Lineage: Eukaryota; Metazoa; Chordata; Aves; Apodiformes; Apodidae
Exons: 2
Source: RefSeq, a predicted model, not a curated record
CAAAUACUUAAAAGUCUGCUGGCCUGCUUUCCUCUCAGUCCUAUCAGUAGGAGUAAGGGCUGCAGGAUGUGGCCCUAUGUGGAAACAAAAGGAGUAUGAACAACUGGCUGCAGAAUUUGACCCUUAUUUAGGUCUCCUUGUUGCCCCAAAUCCCAAUGCUUUACUCUACAAGACAGCUCUUCAAGGAAGAUUUUCACUUAUCAGCAACUACGGGUGUUUUACAGAAAGUGGAAAAACUGAAUGGCUUGGGGUGUUAAAGAUGAGUAAUGAUAUGAACAGAGAAGUCUCACUUACAGAGGAAAAUCGGUGUGCUACUGUGACAGAAAUUAUUACAUAGCACCAAAAUAUCUUAAAGUUGAUGUCAUUCUGAAAUGAAAGACGUGUGCAUCCCAGAACAAUUUAUGUACCUCUAAAAUAGAACAAUUACUUGAAAGAAAAGACCUCUAAGCCAUAAUGGCUCAGAAAUGGUCUUUGAAGAGGCAUUUUUAAUUCUGUUGUUAUUCCAACCAAUGUCCUAUGAAGACAAGCUCUCCAGUAAAUAAGUGUGAUGUCUCUACUAUUCAACACAGGCAGAGAUCUUUGUUUCUGACUUUUUUGGACAGUUUCUUUGUUUCAACAGUGUGGUUAUAAAGACUCAGGGUUCCUGUGGUCUAAAAGCAGUAAAACAGGUUGGUAGACACAUGUCAGAGAAUUUAACAUCUUUGGGGCAAGAAUCUUGACAUCAUCUAAUAUUGUACAGUAGUGGGGAACAGAAGCUUUUGGACUGUAAUAAAGUGUCAUUACUGAAACCUGA